UGGGGCUGAGCAAUCCUUUAAGCAACAUGUUGAGGGAGACUUAAAGGCCUAGCUAGGGCCUCAUAAGACCGGCAAGAUCAUCAUCCGAUGACUCUAGACUGGACAUUUUAUCCUUAAGGUGCGUAAACAGAUCCAAUACAAACGACUGCUAUCAUUUGGUGUUGUAAAGAAUGGAUAACUCAGAAGUGGACGACACAAUGCUGCUGAGAGACAUGGCAAAUACGAUGACUAACUAUUGCAAUUACUUCAUACACAUGAUGUCAUAUACUUCCAAAGCAAGGCUCAGGAAUGUCAGGGAGACAAUGCCAUUUGGACUACUUCUAGUCAGAGUGUCCUAUGGAACUGAGAAUGGAGUCAAUAGGCCACAUUUACUACACAAUUAACACGCCUCCUUGGUUGCAAAAUCUAUUUCAGCGUGAAAUAAAUAUCAGCAAGAGGACAAACACCAGCCCGGCAUGUGGAUACUAUGGAUGACAAAGUUGUUGCAGAAAAGCUUGGGAUAGUUUUGAAUAAAAU
Microtus oregoni (creeping vole) is the source of this 516-nucleotide long non-coding RNA. RefSeq lists it as uncharacterized. The transcript has 3 exons. Lineage: Eukaryota; Metazoa; Chordata; Mammalia; Rodentia; Cricetidae. The record is from RefSeq and is a predicted model, not a curated record.